UUUGAUCCCUCUGGAACAUGGGCCU
RNAcentral lists this unclassified non-coding RNA (25 nucleotides) under Mus musculus (house mouse). RNAcentral describes it as "oocyte_clustered_small_RNA12984". Lineage: Eukaryota; Metazoa; Chordata; Mammalia; Rodentia; Muridae. The record is from RNAcentral.